Molecule: transfer RNA, 74 nt
Filed under: Oleandra articulata
Lineage: Eukaryota; Viridiplantae; Streptophyta; Polypodiopsida; Polypodiales; Oleandraceae
Also listed under: 3 other names
Description: tRNA-Ile
Rfam family: tRNA
About the family: Transfer RNA (tRNA) molecules are approximately 80 nucleotides in length. Their secondary structure includes four short double-helical elements and three loops (D, anti-codon, and T loops).
Source: RNAcentral
GCAUCCAUGGCUGAGCGGUUAAAGCACCCAACUCAUAAUUGGCGAAUUCACAGGUUCAACUCCUGUUGGAUGCA